CGGGAUGUUCAUAACCCUUUGUUGUCCGACUCUGUUGCCUCCGGGGCGACCCUGCCUUCGGGCGGGGGCUCCGGGUGGACACUUCAAACUCUUGCGUAACUUUGCAGUCUGAGUAAACUUAAUUAAUAAAUUAAAACUUUUAACAACGGAUCUCUUGGUUCUGGCAUCGAUGAAGAACGCAGCGAAAUGCGAUAAGUAAUGUGAAUUGCAGAAUUCAGUGAAUCAUCGAAUCUUUGAACGCACAUUGCGCCCCCUGGUAUUCCGGGGGGCAUGCCUGUUCGAGCGUCAUUUCACCACUCAAGCCUCGCUUGGUAUUGGGCAACGCGGUCCGCCGCGUGCCUCAAAUCGACCGGCUGGGUCUUCUGUCCCCUAAGCGUUGUGGAAACUAUUCGCUAAAGGGUGCUCGGGAGGCUACGCCGUAAAACAACCCCAUUUCUAAGGUUGACCUCGGAUCAGGUAGGGAUACCCGCUGAACUUAAGCAUAUC
This 486-nucleotide ribosomal RNA is filed under the name Cladosporium sp. DY115-21-12-M12. RNAcentral's name for it is "eukaryotic LSU rRNA". The stretch from base 135 to 288 matches the Rfam family "5.8S ribosomal RNA". Lineage: Eukaryota; Fungi; Ascomycota; Dothideomycetes; Cladosporiales; Cladosporiaceae. The record is from RNAcentral.